RNAcentral lists this ribosomal RNA (253 nucleotides) under uncultured bacterium. RNAcentral's name for it is "partial 16S ribosomal RNA". It matches the Rfam family "Bacterial small subunit ribosomal RNA", at positions 524 to 776 of the family's 1533-position model. The record is from RNAcentral.
UACGUAGGGUGCAAGCGUUAAUCGGAAUUACUGGGCGUAAAGCGUGCGCAGGCGGUUCGCUAAGACCGAUGUGAAAUCCCCGGGCUCAACCUGGGAACUGCAUUGGUGACUGGCGGGCUAGAGUAUGGCAGAGGGGGGUAGAAUUCCACGUGUAGCAGUGAAAUGCGUAGAGAUGUGGAGGAAUACCGAUGGCGAAGGCAGCCCCCUGGGCCAAUACUGACGCUCAUGCACGAAAGCGUGGGGAGCAAACAGG